This 1297-nucleotide long non-coding RNA is filed under the name Capra hircus (goat). Its description in RNAcentral is "lncRNA (ENSCHIG00010032356.1)". The record is from RNAcentral. Lineage: Eukaryota; Metazoa; Chordata; Mammalia; Artiodactyla; Bovidae.
CGUGGGCAAGAUAACUGUGCGUUAGAGCAGUUAUCCUACCCUGACCCCGAAGACAUAGCUAUUUCAUCAUCUUUCUACAUUAAAAAAAAAAAAAAAAAAUUUGGCCACAACCCACGGGCAUGUGGGAUCUUAGUUCCCCAACCAGGAAUCGAACCCAUCACCCUCCAGUGGAAGUGUGGAGUCCUAACCACUGGACGGCCAGGGAAGUCCUAUCCCAUCAUCUUAGCAGAUCAUAGUCUGAUUAACCCCGCUCCUGUCUUGGGUGUUUUUAUUGUUGCUAUAAUGCCAUGCUUAUCUUUGAACAAAGUAUGCUGUUUUAUUUGUCCCUUCUGGCUUAUACUCAUUAAGUAUAUUUCCCCAGUUGGGAUGACCAGGGGCCCUACCAACUCAUCAACAGGGUUUUAAUUAUUUCAUAGCUCUUGUUUGUUAUACUAUUAUCAAACGGCUCUCUAGAAAUCCCGGUGCAAAAGAGUGCAGCAUCAGCAAUGUUUCGUGUUUCCCAUAGCCUCAGCAGCACUGGAUUUUAAUGUUUUCAGUUAUGUUUGUUAAUUCCUUUGCACCCAUGAGAAAGUGCCUUUACAGAGAUGUUACUGAAGUCCUUUACAGUUUUAACACUUUGAGGGAGUUCCUCUACCCUAGAGUACGUGGCAGAUAAAAUUUGGUUCUUCCAGCCCUAGCACAUUCCCUACCCUCUGGCCUGCCCUCUGAUGCACGCAGCCAAAGGGACAUUCACAAGUCCCGAGUUAGAAAAGUGAUGACAUCGCAAAAUGCAGUAACAGGAAUCAAGCUUUCACUUCUGUUUUACAAAAGAGGCUUUUGGAAACUCACAGCUGAGACUAGAGUUUUAAGGGUGGGAGGAAGAAAGCUUUCUGGGUUUCAAAGCCUGGCUUUUGAGCCUGAGAAGCCUCAGGCCUGAAGGACUCAGGGCAUACGGUGGAGGCAUAAAUAAUAGAUUUGGAAGAAUAGGUGAUCAGUCAGAGGCAGACAGCUCUGCCCCGGGCUAUAAAGUUUCUCCGGGCUGAGGGAGCUGAGAAGUGUAGAAGGAAGAGAGGGUUUAACUGGUGGGUCCCGAAGGGCGGAGGUCUGUGACAGAAACCCUGAGGGGCUGCUUGAAGGCCAGUUCCCCACUUGUGCCCGAGCAGCGGCCUGAGCAGCGUGGGGAGGGUAUGGAUUCACCCAUCCAUUCAGGAAGGCGCUGCUUUGAGCCCUGUGGAUGCAAAUAGACAGAGCCCUGCUCUCAUGGAGCUGACAUCCUAACAAGGGGAUAGAGACUCUAAACAAACAAAUAUAAAUAAAU